CUACGGGUGGCAGCAGUGAGGAGUUUUGCGCAAUGGGGGAAACCCUGACGCAGCAACGCCGCGUGAGCGAAGAAGGCCCUCGGGUCGUAAAGCUCUGUCAAGUGGGAAAAAAAUUUUUUGAUCAAUAGUCAAAAGACUUGAUGGUACCACUGGAGGAAGCACCGGCUAACUCCGUGCCAGCAGCCGCGGUAAUACGGAGGGUGCGAGCGUUGUUCGGAUUUACUGGGCGUAAAGAGCGUGUAGGCGGUUUAGCAAGUCAGAUGUGAAAGCCCUGGGCUCAACCCGGGAAGUGCAUUUGAAACUGCUUCACUAGAGUAUGGGAGAGGAGAUUGGAAUUCCUGGUGUAGAGGUGAAAUUCGUAGAUAUCAGGAGGAACACCCGUGGCGAAGGCGAUUCUCUGGACCAAUACUGACGCUGAGACGCGAAAGCGUGGGGAGCAAACAGGAUUAGAUACCCCUGUAGUC
This 464-nucleotide ribosomal RNA is filed under the name uncultured bacterium. RNAcentral's name for it is "partial 16S ribosomal RNA". It matches the Rfam family "Bacterial small subunit ribosomal RNA", at positions 339 to 795 of the family's 1533-position model. The record is from RNAcentral.